Molecule: small RNA, 125 nt
Filed under: Marmota monax (woodchuck)
Lineage: Eukaryota; Metazoa; Chordata; Mammalia; Rodentia; Sciuridae
Source: RNAcentral
GCUGGGUGCAGUGGCGCACACUUGUAAUCCCAGUGGCUUGGGAGGCUGAGGCAGGAGGAUAGCAAAUUCAAUGCCAGCUUCAGCAACUGUGAGGCUCUAAGCAACUCAGUAAGACCCUGUCUCUA